This 831-nucleotide ribosomal RNA is filed under the name uncultured Actinomycetes bacterium. RNAcentral's name for it is "SSU rRNA". It matches the Rfam family "Bacterial small subunit ribosomal RNA", at positions 56 to 902 of the family's 1533-position model. Lineage: Bacteria; Bacillati; Actinomycetota; Actinomycetes. The record is from RNAcentral.
UGCAGUCGACGCACUCGACCUUCGGGUCACAUGAGUGAGUGGCGAACGGGUGAGUAACACGUGAGAAACCUGUCCCGAAGACUGGAAUAACCCGAGGAAACUCGGACUAAUACCGGAUGCCCCCACCGGAUCACAUGAUCUGGUGAGGAAAUGCUCCGGCGCUUCGGGAGGGUCUCGCGGCCUAUCAGUUAGUUGGUGAGGUAACGGCUCACCAAGGCAUCGACGGGUAGCUGGUCUGAGAGGACGAUCAGCCACACUGGGACUGAGACACGGCCCAGACUCCUACGGGAGGCAGCAGUGGGGAAUCUUGCGCAAUGGGCGAAAGCCUGACGCAGCCACGCCGCGUGAGGGAUGAAGGCUUUCGGGUUGUAAACCUCUUUCAGCAGGGACGAAAAUGACGGUACCUGCAGAAGAAGCUCCGGCCAACUACGUGCCAGCAGCCGCGGUAACACGUAGGGAGCAAGCGUUGUCCGGAUUUAUUGGGCGUAAAGAGCUCGUAGGCGGUUCGGUAAGUCGGGUGUGAAAACUUGAGGCUCAACCUCAAGAGGCCACUCGAUACUGCUGUGACUGGAGUCCGGUAGAGGAGUGUGGAAUUCCUGGUGUAGCGGUGAAAUGCGCAGAUAUCAGGAGGAACACCGACAGCGAAGGCAGCACUCUGGGCCGGUACUGACGCUGAGGAGCGAAAGCAUGGGGAGCGAACAGGAUUAGAUACCCUGGUAGUCCAUGCCGUAAACGUUGGGCACUAGGUGUGGGGUCUAGCUAACAGAUUCCGUGCCGCAGCUAACGCAUUAAGUGCCCCGCCUGGGGAGUACGGCCGCAAGGNUAAAACUC